UGGUCGACCUGCAGGCGGCCGCGAAUUCACUAGUGAUUAGAGUUUGAUCGUGGCUCAGAUUGAACGCUAGCGGAAUGCUUUACACAUGCAAGUCGAGCGGCAGCGCGGGGCACCUGGCGGCGAGCGCCGAACAGUGAGGCAUAGGAACAUGUCCAUGUCGUGGGGGAUAGCCCGGCGAAAGCCGGAUUAAUACCGCAUACGUCCGAGAGGAGAAAGUGGGGGACCCGCAAGGGCCUCACGCGAUUGGGUUGGCCGAUGUCCGAUUAGCUAGUUGGUGAGGUAAAGGCUCACCAAGGCGAUGAUCGGUAGCUGGUCUGAGAGGAUGAUCAGCCACACUGGGACUGAGACACGGCCCAGACUCCUACGGGAGGCAGCAGUGGGGAAUUUUGGACAAUGGGGGCAACCCUGAUCCAGCCAUUCCGGAGUAAGAAGGCCUUUAGGUUGUAAAGCUCUUUUGUCCGGAACGAAGGGAGCACGUGAAUAUGGUUCGCUACUGACG
This 499-nucleotide ribosomal RNA is filed under the name uncultured beta proteobacterium. Its description in RNAcentral is "bacterial SSU rRNA". It matches the Rfam family "Bacterial small subunit ribosomal RNA", at positions 1 to 474 of the family's 1533-position model. Lineage: Bacteria; Pseudomonadati; Pseudomonadota; Betaproteobacteria. The record is from RNAcentral.